Molecule: long non-coding RNA, 1632 nt
Organism: Cavia porcellus (domestic guinea pig)
Lineage: Eukaryota; Metazoa; Chordata; Mammalia; Rodentia; Caviidae
Exons: 5
Source: RefSeq, a predicted model, not a curated record
CUUUAGUGCCCAAGACUGACUAGUAGAAUAUUGCAGAAGGGGAAUGUAUGUGUCGUACAUGAAGAUUUUAGUCUACAGUGGGCAGUCAAGUUAUUCAGCACAUAACUCCUUCAUGCUCAGCCACCAUGAACUGCGGCCCAGCCGUGCCCGCCUGCCUUGGAGCCAACUGAGUGUGGACUGAAACCUCCAAAACUAAAUGGAGCAGUAAUUCUCAAGAGAACUCUUUGGAAUCAUCUGAGAAAUCUUAAAAAUCUUGAAGCUGAGGUUCUCGCUAUGCAGUUCAGGCUGGCCUUGAGCUCACUUUGUAGCCCAGGCUGGUCUCGAACUCGUAAUGAUCCUCCUGCCUCAGCCUCCUGAAGAAUGUACCACCAUGCCUGGCUGUUCUCAUUUUAAAGAAGAAACUGGAGCUUUGUGAAGAUGUAUAACUCACCCAAAGCACCCGGAGGACCUAUGAAUGAAUCUACUAAAUUUUCCUUCACGUUGUCAGACAAAACGUCUGUUUUGUACAAGCAGCAGCAGAGGGCGCUCAUCUCACAGUUUAGCUUUAUCUAAACUGAAGGAAAACACUAUUAUAUUAAUGCCUGUGUAACUAUUAACAUGUUUGUGACUGUUGAAAAAAAUAGAAGACAGAAUAUGGAUGGAUGGAUGGAUGGAUGGAUGGAUGGAUGGAUGGAUGGAUGGAUGGACGGGAGGAUGAAUGGAUGAAUGAUGGGAUAGAUAGAUGAGGGAGGGAUGAACAGAUAAUUGACAGAUUGAUAAUAGAAAUUAUUCUUGUGGCCCCUCCCCUAACUAUUGAUGUUGCAACCAUGCCUGUUAUGCUCCUUUUAAUAACUGCCACCUUUUCCCUCCUUUAGCAUGUUCAUUUCCUAGCACUGUGAAACACAGCACGGAAACUUUCAACCUUGAGCUUUAAAAGCUGGGGUGCUAAGUCCCACAUUUCAGUGCAAAGCCUUUCUUUCUGCGGGGCCACAACCAUUUCUUGAGCAUGUCCAGGAGAGGAGGAGGUGAAUCUGUUUUCUCCUGGCAUGACUUUGAUGAUGUUUCUUGUGAAUGAGCUGCAAACUACCGCAAUACUGUUUCCUUUUUCCUGUUUCCCUUCCUCUCCCACAUCCCUCUAUCCUGCCAGGCUAUUCUUAACCAUGCCUCCCUUGUUUUAUCCCUCUGAGGUCAUGGUCUUCAAUAGGUAAGAUACCCGCCUACUGUAGCCAGCCUCCAGAAGGGCCCCUGAGCCCCACCUCCUUGCAUGCACACCUUUAUACAGUGCUCUCCUGCACUGAGCAGGGAUGACCUGUGCCAGGAUAUUGUGAGAAUGACUGUAUGGCCUUCAAAGUUAAGCUUACAAAAGACAAGUGCUUCUGCUUUGCUUUCUCUUGGAUUACUGAGCCUGCUGCCCUGGUGUGAGGAUUCUCAGGUGGUCCUAUGGAGGGUGCAAGUGGCAAGGAACUGAGUUCUCCUGCCGGGAGCACUUUUCAAUGAAAGCAUGCUAUGCAAGCCAGCUACCUGGAACAUGAACACUUCAGCCCCGACACAGCCUGCAGGUGACUGCAAGUAUGUCAGCACCCACUAGGUGCUCCCAAAUGUCUCACCCACAGAAACCAUGGGAUAAUAAAUGUUUAUUAUUUUAAGACACUA